RNAcentral lists this transfer RNA (73 nucleotides) under Gloeophyllum trabeum ATCC 11539. RNAcentral describes it as "tRNA-Thr (TGT) (tRNA-Thr-TGT-1-1)". It matches the Rfam family "tRNA". From Rfam's summary of the family: Transfer RNA (tRNA) molecules are approximately 80 nucleotides in length. Lineage: Eukaryota; Fungi; Basidiomycota; Agaricomycetes; Gloeophyllales; Gloeophyllaceae. The record is from RNAcentral.
GCCACCUUGGCUAAGUGGUUACGGCGCUCCGCUUGUAACGGAGAGAUCACUCGUUCGAUCCGGGUAGGUGGCA